RNAcentral lists this transfer RNA (72 nucleotides) under Candidatus Pacearchaeota archaeon CG06_land_8_20_14_3_00_35_12. Its description in RNAcentral is "tRNA-Arg". It matches the Rfam family "tRNA". From Rfam's summary of the family: Transfer RNA (tRNA) molecules are approximately 80 nucleotides in length. Their secondary structure includes four short double-helical elements and three loops (D, anti-codon, and T loops). Lineage: Archaea; Nanobdellati. The record is from RNAcentral.
GCCCCUAUAGUUCAACGGAUAGAAUACGACCUUGCGGAGGUUGUGAUCGGAGUUCGAAUCUUCGUAGGGGCA